AACGAACGCUGGCGGCAUGCUUAACACAUGCAAGUCGAACGAGACCUUCGGGCCUAUUGGCGCACGGCUGGUUGAGACCUGGGAAGCUACCCUUAGGUUCGCAAUAACUCCCCGUAAGGGGUGCUAAUACCGGUUGAUGUAUUCGGACCAAAGAUGUAUCGCCGUUGGAUGGGGCCGGGUUGGUUUAGCGGGUUGGUAGGGGAAAAGCCUACCAAUGCGACGUUGCAGGGCUGGUCUGAGAGCAGGAUCAGCUACACUGGGACUGAGACACGGCCCAGACUGGUACGCGAGGGAGCAGUAUGGAAUAUUGGACAAUGGGCGAAAGCCUGAUCCAGCAAUGCCGCGGGAGUGAUGAAGGCCUUAGGGUUGUAAAGCUCUUUGAGCCGGGAUGAGAAUGACAGUACCGGGUGAAGAAGCACCGGCUAACUACGUG
This 433-nucleotide ribosomal RNA is filed under the name uncultured bacterium. Its description in RNAcentral is "partial 16S ribosomal RNA". It matches the Rfam family "Bacterial small subunit ribosomal RNA", at positions 29 to 507 of the family's 1533-position model. The record is from RNAcentral.